GUGGGUAUAGCGUAGCUGGUUAACGCGUCAGUUUGUGGCACUGAAGACCGAGAGUUCGAAUCUCUCUAUCCACCCUA
This 77-nucleotide transfer RNA is filed under the name Ruminococcus sp. CAG:579. Its description in RNAcentral is "transfer RNA-His(GTG)". It matches the Rfam family "tRNA". From Rfam's summary of the family: Transfer RNA (tRNA) molecules are approximately 80 nucleotides in length. Their secondary structure includes four short double-helical elements and three loops (D, anti-codon, and T loops). The record is from RNAcentral. Lineage: Bacteria; Bacillati; Bacillota; Clostridia; Eubacteriales; Oscillospiraceae.